RNAcentral lists this unclassified non-coding RNA (345 nucleotides) under soil metagenome. RNAcentral's name for it is "partial contains 5.8S ribosomal RNA, internal transcribed spacer 2, and large subunit ribosomal RNA". The stretch from base 1 to 120 matches the Rfam family "5.8S ribosomal RNA", at positions 35 to 154 of the family's 154-position model. The record is from RNAcentral.
GAUGAAGAACGUAGCGAAAUGCGAUACGUAAUGUGAAUUGCAGAAUUCAGUGAAUCAUCGAGUCUUUGAACGCACAUUGCGCCCCCUGGUAUUCCGGUGGGCAUGCCUGUCCGAGCGUCAUUGCUGCCCUCAAGCACGGCUUGUGUGUUGGGCCUCCGUCCUCCUCCCGGGGGACGGGCCCGAAAGGCAGCGGCGGCACCGCGUCCGGUCCUCGAGCGUAUGGGGCUUCGUCACCCGCUCUUGUAGGCCCGGCCGGCGCUUGCCGACACAUCAAUCUUUUUUCCAGGUUGACCUCGGAUCAGGUAGGGAUACCCGCUGAACUUAAGCAUAUCAAUAAGCGGAGGA